This is a long non-coding RNA of Marmota monax (woodchuck), 2288 nucleotides long. RefSeq lists it as uncharacterized. The transcript is spliced from 2 exons. The record is from RefSeq and is a predicted model, not a curated record. NCBI's taxonomy places the organism in Eukaryota, Metazoa, Chordata, Mammalia, Rodentia, Sciuridae.
UCUAAUUGUUCGUAUUCAGUAUGGUCUAAUAUGUGAAUAAUCUAGUAUUUGUCUUAUGACCUGCCUGUAGAAACAUAUAGAUAUAAACUGUGUCUAUGUAUGCACCUAUUUGUUGAUACCUCAGUUUUCAGCUUUUUACAGUUAAAAACCUUUGUAAUAGCAGGGACUUUGGCUACGGAAGUGGCUUUACAUAUGAUAAAACUGCCCUCAUCCAUUUUCAACAAGCAAAUGCAUUUGAGGAAGAGACAGUCCUUUGAUUAUACCCAAUACAGACAACAUCUGUAGUUUGAACAAUUAAGGAUGGCAGCCACUGUUACCUUGAAGUGGUGGAGAGAUAAGAAAUGAAAAUCUUCCUCUUUGCCUCUUUUUCUCUCCAGCCCUCGUCAAAUCCUGUCUCAAAGUUCAAUUAAGCCAGAUUCAUAAUUAAGGAUAUAGCAGAGGGAGACUCCAAAUGGAAUAAUUGUUGCCCCUUGUGAGAUUUAAUAGCUUCACCUCAGUCAUCACAACCAACAUCCAGCAGAAGGGUGGAUUAGAUGCCUGGGAGGCCAAUUUCGGAAGUUUUGGAGGGAGAGGAAGAAAAUGGCAGGUACCAAGGAGAAUGUAAAGGAUAUGGCCAUUUUUGUGAGUUUUAGGAGAAAGACGUGCCCUAAAAUUUAAAAAUGUCUUCUAUUUCAUAAAGCGCUAGGUUCGCUGGCUGAACCUUUCGUUCAGCCAAAAUCUUUCUUUCGUUCGGUGCUACCUCAUCCUUCUGGACCCAGAGAGUGUUCUCCACUCAAACCUCUCCACGGUUAAAUUCACCCUCUGCUCCAGACAGCUUUUCUACUUAUUGCUCUAUAAUAGUGGCUGGAAGAACUUUAUCCAUCGCCCGGUAUUAUCAGAUACCAGACUUCCGGGACUAAGGACAGUGUCUGUUUCAAGUAUUAGUAGAUCCUGGCUAACAAGGAGUGGCCGUUGGAUACAAGUUCCCACAGCUACAAGGGCUGACUGAAAACAGCUCCAGGUCCCUUGCCCCAGGUGCCUGUCAUCACUGUGGGCAGGGUGACCUCUGAGCGACCCUCCGGGACAGGAUGGAUGCCAGGGGCUUCAUACCUUCCUCUCACCACGCAGCGUAGUCCACCUGACUCGUUGGGGGACCCUGAGUGAUAUUCAUUUCAGGGCCGGCAAUGCGACCGAGGCGCGGAGCACAAGUGGGACCUCUGGAAACUUCCCAGCCCCGAGGGGCUCUCAGUUCGGCCUCGGCGACACCAACAUCCUCCCGCCCCUCCCGUAGUUGAGUUGAGUCCUCCUCCCCAUCCCAGCGCCCCUUCCUAGUCCGAGACCCCUCCAAAUUUGAGAGCACUUUUCGGUCCCAGUGCCCUUCCCCGGGGGCCCUUUCCCCUCCCUGAGCUCCUUUCCCCGUUUCUUGUCCUACUUCCGAGCUCCCGUCCAUAACCCUCAUCCCAGUCCAAGCCUCUCUUCACAGUGGGAGCUCCCUGCCCUCAACUGGAGUCUGACCUGAGCUGAGCUCCUCAGAAGCGUCCGCGGCCAGCGCCCGCAAGCCAAGUGCAGCGGCAGGUGGCGGAGCAGGUGCAGGAGCAGGCGGCCAGCUGUGGGCCCCGCCCGCGGACGUGGGCUCUCUCCACCCUUGAUCGCCCUUCCCCGCACCUGCCAGCUCAUAGGACCUCCAGUCGCCGGAACUGCACUUCCCUCCGUUCCUUCCUACCAUCUGGUCCGAAGGUAUUCCCUAAGGUGUGUUUCACCAGGAGCGGGUUCCUGGGUGGACUGUGUCGGACUGUAACCUUCUACAAUGCAAAAGAAUCACAAAGCCUGAGAGACAGCGAGAACUCAGAGGGUAUGGAAGCCAGCUUCCCAGGACAAGCAACCACUGCAAACACACUGGAAGCCAGCCGAGAACCAGAAUCAAGUUUCUUUUUCUGGGUAAAACUUGAUAGUUAACUUUGAGUGUCACAUAGUUCGCUCUUUCAUUCACUCCAUGCAUUAAUUCAUUCAACAAAUCUGCCACGUGCUCAUCUAACAACAAAUCUGACAGACGGACACAGUUCUGUGUGCUCAAAGGGGACAGAGUUUCUGCCCUGGGAGGAGCUUCCUUUCUACGGAGGGAUAUGGGCAUGGCGACGCUGAGCCAAUCUUGGACCACGGUGGCUAAACAUUAUGGACCAAUGGUAAAAUAUGUGGAUGAAAGAAGACUGGAUUAUUGGAUGAUCUCAUGCAGUAGCCUCUGCAUUAGUCCUAUAAUGUCUACCUCCAAUCUGUUCCACAAAGAAUAAAGUUUGUUACAUGAAGCUAAA